UUUUCUUCCUACAGAAAAAAGGCAAAAAUUAAUUUUCUUUCCCAAGUAGAACAUUAUCUUGUGUCAGAUUAUGUAUUUAUUCACUGUGCAUUUGCAGAGGUUGUGCUUGUUGCAGUUUGUAGAGGUUGUGCUAUGUGCAGUUUGUAGAGGUUGUGCUAGCUGCAGUUUGUAGAGGUUGUGCUAGGUGCAGUUUACUGUCCAUGAUUCCUUCUCUCCCUUCCUUCUCUUCAUCUCUCCUUCCUUGCUUCUAUCUCCCUGCUCCUGCCACUCUCUGCCUUCAUCCCCCCUCCCACUAUUUGCCUUUAUGCAUAUAUCACUUUGGAAAGUGUGUGCUAUUCUGAGUCUUUUUUCUUAGCACUGAUUAAUGUAGUUUACCCUUACCCAGGUUUGGGUUACGGCUUUACAUCCGCUGAGGACACACAUCACAGCCACUGACACCAGGGGUCAGGCCGUUAUAAGAUUACAAGAUGUGUGUGAUGGACAUUAAUUUCACGCCACUGACAGCAUGUUUGUCUCUGCUGCUGAAGUACUCUUGAUGUUGUUUAAUCUCCAGUUCUCUCUCCUGUCCAUUCAUUUGUCAUCCCACUUUCUCAGAAAACUGGGUGCUAUUGCUGUUUCCACUCAGACUGUCACCGUCCGUCAGUCUCCUUUCAUCUAUGGGCGACAUUAGCUCAAAUUUCUUGAUUUUCACAGGGUCAUCCAUCUCGUUUCAGAUCACCCCUAUUACUAGCCUGUUCAACCUCUCUUUCGUAUCAUCUGAGAUUCCCAAAGAUUGGAAAGCUGCCGCGG
Long non-coding RNA from Oncorhynchus tshawytscha (Chinook salmon), 789 nucleotides. NCBI's taxonomy places the organism in Eukaryota, Metazoa, Chordata, Actinopteri, Salmoniformes, Salmonidae. The record is from Ensembl.